AUUGAACGCUGGCGGCAGGCCUAACACAUGCAAGUCGAGCGGAUGAAGGGAGCUUGCUCCUGGAUUCAGCGGCGGACGGGUGAGUAAUGCCUAGGAAUCUGCCUGGUAGUGGGGGAUAACGUCCGGAAACGGGCGCUAAUACCGCAUACGUCCUGAGGGAGAAAGUGGGGGAUCUUCGGACCUCACGCUAUCAGAUGAGCCUAGGUCGGAUUAGCUAGUUGGUGGGGUAAAGGCCUACCAAGGCGACGAUCCGUAACUGGUCUGAGAGGAUGAUCAGUCACACUGGCACUGAGACACGGUCCCGACUCCUACGGGAGGCAGCAGUGGGGAAUAUUGGACAAUGGGCGAAAGCCUGAUCCAGCCAUGCCGCGUGUGUGAAGAAGGUCUUCGGAUUGUAAAGCACUUUAAGUUGGGAGGAAGGGCAGUAAGUUAAUACCUUGCUGUUUUGACGUUACCAACAGAAUAAGCACCGGCUAACUUCGUG
RNAcentral lists this ribosomal RNA (484 nucleotides) under uncultured bacterium. RNAcentral's name for it is "partial 16S ribosomal RNA". It matches the Rfam family "Bacterial small subunit ribosomal RNA", at positions 30 to 507 of the family's 1533-position model. The record is from RNAcentral.